GCGUACGGUGGACAGUUGGGAGAGCACCUGCCUUGCAAGCAGGGGGUCAGGAGUUCGAAUCUCCUCGUCUCCACCA
RNAcentral lists this transfer RNA (76 nucleotides) under Veillonella sp. S13053-19. RNAcentral describes it as "tRNA-Ala". It matches the Rfam family "tRNA", at positions 10 to 71 of the family's 71-position model. From Rfam's summary of the family: Transfer RNA (tRNA) molecules are approximately 80 nucleotides in length. Their secondary structure includes four short double-helical elements and three loops (D, anti-codon, and T loops). Lineage: Bacteria; Bacillati; Bacillota; Negativicutes; Veillonellales; Veillonellaceae. The record is from RNAcentral.